Molecule: ribosomal RNA, 1366 nt
Filed under: Crinia parinsignifera
Lineage: Eukaryota; Metazoa; Chordata; Amphibia; Anura; Myobatrachidae
Description: partial 16S ribosomal RNA
Rfam family: Bacterial large subunit ribosomal RNA
Source: RNAcentral
CUAAAAUUUAGCCCUAAUAUUCUUUAUUUUUUUCUCCACAUCUAACAACCGCCACUAAAACAUUCUAAUAAUCUAGUACAGGCGAUCGAAACACUUCUAGGAGCUAUACAUAGUACUGCAAAGGAACAAUGAAAUAGAAAUGAAAUAAUAUUAAAGCCCCACACAGUAGAGACUUCCCCUCGUACCUUUUGCAUCAUGAUCUAGCAAGUCCAAACAGGCAAAGAGAACUACAGUCUGCCCCCCCGAAACUAAGUGAGCUACCCCAAGGCAACUAAUAGAGUUAACCCGUCUCUGUGGCAAAAGAGUGGGAAGACCUUCGAGUAGAGGUGAUAAACCUAUCGAACUUAGUGAUAGCUGGUUACUCAAAAAACGGAUGUAAGUCCAACCUUAAGUCAAAUUAGCAAUACACAGCAUCUCUCAUACUUAAGAGCCAGUCAAAUAAGGCACAGCUUAUUUGACACAGGAUACAGCCUAAACCCCCGGGUAAUAUUCAUUUUUUCCCAACCAAGUUGGCCUAAAAGCAGCCACCUUUAAAAUAGCGUCAAAGCUUAAUUGCAAAAUAUUACAAUUUCUUUCACCAUAUAAAACCCACACCCAAUAUUGAGUGACCUUAUAAUUAUAUAAGGGACAUCAUGCUAAAAUCAGUAACAUGAGUACCCCCCUCUCUCCAGUGCAAGUGUAAAUCAAAAUGGACCUCCCGCUGAUAUUUAACACCCCUACACCCGUGGCAGUAACAUAACAAGAAAACCCUGCCCCCUCCUAUGUUAACCUAACACAAGAGCACUACAAGAAAGAUUUAAAGAAGUGGAAGGAACUCGGCAAAAACCAACCUCGCCUGUUUACCAAAAACAUCGCCUCUUGAAAAUAUAAGAGGUCCAGCCUGCCCAGUGACUCUGUUCAACGGCCGCGGUAUUCUGACCGUGCGAAGGUAGCGUAAUCACUUGUUCUUUAAAUAAGGACUAGUAUGAAUGGCACCACGAGGGUUGCACUGUCUCCCACCUCUAAUCAGUGAAAUUAAUCUUCCCGUGAAGAAGCGGGAAUAAGCAUAUAAGACGAGAAGACCCCAUGGAGCUUUAAACAAAAGGCACAUGCAAACCAAAUCAAGCAUUCUGUCCCCAAGUUUUCGGUUGGGGCGACCGCGGAGAACAACAUAACCUCCACGCUGAACGAUUAUAUCUUAGCCGUAAUUCACAAAUUUAAGCACCAGCACCCUGACACCCAUUGACCCAAUACAAUUGAUCAACGAACCAAUGUUACCCUGGGGAUAACAGCGCAAUCUACCUUGAGAGCUCAUAUCGACAGGUGGGUUUACGACCUCGAUGUUGGAUCAGGGUAUCCCAGUGGUGCAGCAGCUACUAAUGGUUCG